GGGGGUGUCAGGCUUCGACUUUGGGAUUUGAGGUAUGGGAAGCGAGUCGUGGUAUCCGGACCCACGUUAAUGAGCCGGGGCAAAAAAUAAACGCCGAGCCUACGCUCGCACUCGCUGCCUAAUUAACGGCGCGACGUCCUCCCAUCCCGAGCUCUUAGGGGUGGUUCUGGGCGACAUCAAAUAGAGAUAAGCUCGACCAACGCCUGUAAGGAAGAGACGAAAACUAAAACGGGCUAAGGGUUAGAACAGAGGUAACCGGUACUCUAACCACAAAAAUUACUUGGCUACUGCACUCGGAGAAGCCAUACUAACGAACCGAAGGACGCGGGUUCAAUUCCCGCCACCUCCACUU
This 352-nucleotide transfer-messenger RNA is filed under the name Acidimicrobiaceae. Its description in RNAcentral is "Acidithrix sp021805205 Standard tmRNA". It matches the Rfam family "transfer-messenger RNA". From Rfam's summary of the family: Bacterial tmRNA, also known as 10Sa RNA or SsrA, is named for its dual tRNA and mRNA-like properties. Its role is to liberate the mRNA from a stalled ribosome. RNAcentral also lists the same sequence under 1 other name. Lineage: Bacteria; Bacillati; Actinomycetota; Acidimicrobiia; Acidimicrobiales. The record is from RNAcentral.